This 253-nucleotide ribosomal RNA is filed under the name uncultured bacterium. RNAcentral describes it as "partial 16S ribosomal RNA". It matches the Rfam family "Bacterial small subunit ribosomal RNA", at positions 524 to 776 of the family's 1533-position model. The record is from RNAcentral.
UACGUAGGGGGCCAGCGUUGCUCGGAAUUACUGGGCGUAAAGGGUCCGUAGGCGGUGUGGUAAGUCGAUAGUGAAAUCUCUGGGCUUAGCCCAGAGGCUGCUGACGAAACUACCAUGCUAGAGUGUGAGAGAGGCGAGUGGAAUUCCGGGUGUAGCGGUGGAAUGCGUAGAGAUCCGGAAGAACACCCGUGGCGAAGGCGGCUGACUGGAUCGCAACUGACACUGAGGAACGAAAGCUAGGGGAGCAAACAGG